GAGGAUAUAGCUCAGUGGUAGAGUGCGUGCUUAGCAUACUUGAGGUCCUGAGUUCAAUCCCCAGUACCUCCA
This 72-nucleotide transfer RNA is filed under the name Camelus bactrianus (Bactrian camel). It matches the Rfam family "tRNA". Rfam says of the family: Transfer RNA (tRNA) molecules are approximately 80 nucleotides in length. The record is from Rfam by way of RNAcentral. Lineage: Eukaryota; Metazoa; Chordata; Mammalia; Artiodactyla; Camelidae. RNAcentral also lists the same sequence under 2 other names.